This 569-nucleotide ribosomal RNA is filed under the name Sarocladium oryzae. RNAcentral describes it as "partial 28S ribosomal RNA". It matches the Rfam family "Eukaryotic large subunit ribosomal RNA", at positions 73 to 668 of the family's 3401-position model. Lineage: Eukaryota; Fungi; Ascomycota; Sordariomycetes; Hypocreales; Sarocladiaceae. The record is from RNAcentral.
AGGCCUCAGUACGGCGAGUGAAGCGGCAACAGCUCAAAUUUGAAAUCUGGCCGCAAGGUCCGAGUUGUAAUUUGCAGAGGAUGCUUUUGGCGAGGUGCCUUCCGAGUUCCCUGGAACGGGACGCCAUAGAGGGUGAGAGCCCCGUACGGUUGGACCACCGAGCCUCUGUAAAGCUCCUUCGACGAGUCGAGUAGUUUGGGAAUGCUGCUCUAAAUGGGAGGUGUACGUCUUCUAAAGCUAAAUACCGGCCAGAGACCGAUAGCGCACAAGUAGAGUGAUCGAAAGAUGAAAAGCACUUUGAAAAGAGGGUUAAAAAGUACGUGAAAUUGUUGAAAGGGAAGCGUUUAUGACCAGACUUGGGCUUGGUUGAACAUCCGGCGUUCUCGCCGGUGCACUCUGCCAGUCCAGGCCAGCAUCAGUUUGUCCCGGGGGAUAAAGGCGGUGGGAAUGUGGCUCCCCCGGGAGUGUUAUAGCCCGCCGUGCAAUGCCCUGGGACGGACUGAGGAACGCGCUUCGGCACGGAUGCUGGCGUAAUGGUCAUCAACGACCCGUCUUGAACCCACGGACCA